UGGGUGCAGCAAACCACCAUGGCACAUGUAUACCUAUGUAACAAACCUGCACAUUUUGCACACGUAUCCCACAACUUAAAAAAAUAUAUAUAUGUAUAUAUAUACACCAAAAAUACAGUGAAAUAAAUAUCAGUUUUUUAGCACAUUGACCAAAAUAAUGCUUGCUCAAGGAUCUGUAGUUUUAUGCAAACCCAGUAUUAGGCCUAAUAGAAAGUAAAUACUGAAUCUAGGUAAAAUUACUCUGCAAGGCAUA
RNAcentral lists this long non-coding RNA (253 nucleotides) under Homo sapiens (human). RNAcentral describes it as "non-protein coding lnc-GTF2B-11:1". The record is from RNAcentral. Lineage: Eukaryota; Metazoa; Chordata; Mammalia; Primates; Hominidae.